This is a non-coding RNA of Triticum aestivum (bread wheat), 135 nucleotides long. Lineage: Eukaryota; Viridiplantae; Streptophyta; Magnoliopsida; Poales; Poaceae. The record is from Rfam.
CUCGUACUCCCUCCGUCCGGAAAUACUUGUCAUCAAAAUGAAUAAAAGGAGGUGUAUCUAGAUGUAUUUUGAUUCUAGAUACAUUCUUUUUUGUCCAUUUUGAUGACAAGUAUUUUCAGACGGAGGGAGUACACC